AACGAACGCUGGCGGCAUGCCUAACACAUGCAAGUCGAACGAAACCUUCGUGCCUUUUUGCGCUCCUCUACUUACCACGUGGUAACCUACCCUUAGGUUCCGUAUCCCUCCCUUUAGGGUGUCCUCAUACCGGUUAAUGUCUUCCCGCCUAAGAUUUCUUGCCUUGGGGUGGGCCCUGGUUGGUUUCGCUAGUUGGUAGUGUAAUAGCCUACCAAGGCGACGAAGCAUGGCUGGUCUGAGAGGAUGAUCAGCCACACUGGGACUGAGACACGGACCAGAAUCGUACGGGAGGGAGCAGUGGGGAAUAUUGGAGAAGGGGGGAAAGUCUGAUAAAGCAAUGCCGGGGGAGUGAGGAAGGCGUUAGGGUUGUAAAGCUGUUUGAGACGGGAUGAUAAUGACAGUAACGGGAGAAUAAGCACCGGCUAACUACGUG
Molecule: ribosomal RNA, 433 nt
Filed under: uncultured bacterium
Lineage: Bacteria
Description: partial 16S ribosomal RNA
Rfam family: Bacterial small subunit ribosomal RNA
Source: RNAcentral